RNAcentral lists this ribosomal RNA (480 nucleotides) under uncultured bacterium. Its description in RNAcentral is "bacterial SSU rRNA". It matches the Rfam family "Bacterial small subunit ribosomal RNA", at positions 28 to 507 of the family's 1533-position model. The record is from RNAcentral.
GAUGAACGCUGGCGGCGUGCUUAACACAUGCAAGUCGAACGAGCUUUAUUACUACGAUCCCUUCGGGGUGACGGUUUUAAAGCGAGUGGCGGACGGGUGAGUAACGCGUGGAUAACCUGCCAUACACUGGGGGAUAACAGCUGGAAACAGCUGCUAAUACCGCAUAAAACUGUAGAGUCGCAUGACUUUAUAGCCAAAGCUCCGGCGGUGUAUGAUGGAUCCGCGUCUGAUUAGGCAGUUGGCGGGGUAACGGCCCACCAAACCGACGAUCAGUAGCCGACCUGAGAGGGCGACCGGCCACAUUGGGACUGAGACACGGCCCAGACUCCUACGGGAGGCAGCAGUGGGGAAUAUUGGGGCAAUGGGCGCAAGCCUGACCCAGCAACGCCGCGUGAAGGAAGAAGGCUUUCGGGUUGUAAACUUCUAUCAGCAGGGAAGAUAAUGACGGUACCUGACUAAGAAGCACCGGCUAAAUACGUG